GACGAACGCUGGCGGCGUGCUUAACACAUGCAAGUCGAACGGAAAGGCCCUGCUUGCAGGGUACUCGAGUGGCGAACGGGUGAGUAACACGUGGGUGAUCUGCCCUGCACUUCGGGAUAAGCCUGGGAAACUGGGUCUAAUACCGGAUAUGACCUUCCAUGUAGUGUGGGGGGUGGAAAGAUUUAUCGGUGUGGGAUGAGCCCGCGGCCUACCAGCUUGUUGGUGGGGUAAUGGCCUACCAAGGCGUCGACGGGUAGCCGGCCUGAGAGGGUGGACGGCCACAUUGGGACUGAGAUACGGCCCAGACUCCUACGGGAGGCAGCAGUGGGGAAUAUUGCACAAUGGGCGGAAGCCUUAUGCAGCGACGCCGCGUGGGGGAUGACGGCCUUCGGGUUGUAAACCUCUUUCGACAGGGACGAAGCUUCGGUGACGGUACCUGUAGAAGAAGCACCGGCUAACUACGUG
Molecule: ribosomal RNA, 465 nt
Filed under: uncultured bacterium
Lineage: Bacteria
Description: partial 16S ribosomal RNA
Rfam family: Bacterial small subunit ribosomal RNA
Source: RNAcentral